This 107-nucleotide non-coding RNA is filed under the name Nitrosovibrio sp. Nv17. RNAcentral's name for it is "Nitrosovibrio sp. TPP sequence". It matches the Rfam family "TPP riboswitch aptamer (THI element)". From Rfam's summary of the family: Vitamin B(1) in its active form thiamin pyrophosphate (TPP) is an essential coenzyme that is synthesised by coupling of pyrimidine and thiazole moieties in bacteria. The previously detected thiamin-regulatory element, thi box was extended, resulting in a new, highly conserved RNA secondary structure, the THI element, which is widely distributed in eubacteria and also occurs in some archaea. Lineage: Bacteria; Pseudomonadati; Pseudomonadota; Betaproteobacteria; Nitrosomonadales; Nitrosomonadaceae. The record is from Rfam by way of RNAcentral.
AGCAGCAGCUAGGGGUCCGUUUCCGGAGAACCUCCGGAAACCGGUGAGAGAGUCCCUCAAUACCUGAUACGGAUAAUGCCGCCGUAGGGAAGCUGGGACGGUCCGUC